Molecule: ribosomal RNA, 253 nt
Filed under: uncultured bacterium
Lineage: Bacteria
Description: partial 16S ribosomal RNA
Rfam family: Bacterial small subunit ribosomal RNA
Source: RNAcentral
UACGAAGGGUGCAAGCGUUAAUCGGAAUUACUGGGCGUAAAGCGCACGUAGGCGGUUAGUUAAGUUGGAUGUGAAAGCCCCGGGCUCAACCUGGGAAUUGCAUUCAAAACUGGCUAACUAGAGUAUGUGAGAGGGGGGUAGAAUUCCAAGUGUAGCGGUGAAAUGCGUAGAGAUUUGGAGGAAUACCAGUGGCGAAGGCGGCCCCCUGGCACAAUACUGACGCUGAGGUGCGAAAGCGUGGGGAGCAAACAGG